RNAcentral lists this transfer RNA (76 nucleotides) under Candidatus Bathyarchaeota archaeon. RNAcentral's name for it is "tRNA-Phe". It matches the Rfam family "tRNA". From Rfam's summary of the family: Transfer RNA (tRNA) molecules are approximately 80 nucleotides in length. Their secondary structure includes four short double-helical elements and three loops (D, anti-codon, and T loops). Further hydrogen bonds mediate the characteristic L-shaped molecular structure. tRNAs have two regions of fundamental functional importance: the anti-codon, which is responsible for specific mRNA codon recognition, and the 3' end, to which the tRNAs corresponding amino acid is attached (by aminoacyl-tRNA synthetases). tRNAs cope with the degeneracy of the genetic code in two manners: having more than one tRNA (with a specific anti-codon) for a particular amino acid; and 'wobble' base-pairing, i.e. permitting non-standard base-pairing at the 3rd anti-codon position. Lineage: Archaea; Thermoproteati; Candidatus Bathyarchaeota. The record is from RNAcentral.
GGGCCCGUCGUCUAGCUGGAUCAGGACACAGAUGAAAAGCCUGGAAUCCGGGGUUCAAAUCCCCGCGGGCCCGCCA